CCAAUAGCGUAUAUUAAAGUUGUUGCAGUUAAAAAGCUCGUAGUUGAACUUCGGGGUCUACCCAUUGGUCAGGCUUAAUUGUCUGCACUGGUGAGAUGGAUCUCUACCUUCUGAGGAACUUUCAUGCCAUUUAUUUGGUGUGAUGGGAAAUCAGGACUGUUACUUUGAAAAAAUUAGAGUGUUUAAAGCAGACUAUCGUCUGAAUACAUUAGCAUGGAAUAAUGAAAUAGGACGGACUGAUUCUAUUUCGUUGGUUUCUAGGAUCACCGUAAUGAUUAAUAGGGAUAGUUGGGGGCAUUAGUAUUCAAUUGUCAGAGGUGAAAUUCUUGGAUUUAUUGAAGACUAACUACUGCGAAAGCAUUUGCCAAGGAUGUUUUCAUUAAUCAAGAACGAAAGUUAGGGGAUCGAAGACGAUCAGAUACCGUCGUGGUCUUAACCAUAAACUAUGCCGACUAGGGAUCGGACGAAGUUAAUUUUAUAAUGACGCGUUCGGCACCUUACG
RNAcentral lists this ribosomal RNA (502 nucleotides) under uncultured Glomeromycotina. RNAcentral's name for it is "partial small subunit ribosomal RNA". It matches the Rfam family "Eukaryotic small subunit ribosomal RNA", at positions 591 to 1092 of the family's 1831-position model. Lineage: Eukaryota; Fungi; Glomeromycota. The record is from RNAcentral.